ACCUCAUGAAUAAGGGGCUCCUAACUCUGUGCCAGCAGGAGCGGUAAUACAGAGGCCCCAAGCGUUACCCGGAAUUACUGGGCGUAAAGAGUGCGUAGGUGGUCGUGUUAGUCGUUUGUUAAAUCUCCCGGCUCAACCGGGGAAUCGCGGGCGAAACGGCACGACUUGAGGGCGUGAGAGGUACAUGGAACUCAUGGUGUAGGGGUGAAAUCCGUUGAUAUCAUGGGGAACACCGAAAGCGAAGGCAAUGUACUGGCGCGUUCCUGACACUCAAGCACGAAAGCGUAGGGAGAGAACGGGAUUAGAUACCCCGGUAUUCUACGCCCUAAACUAUGUCCGCUGGCUUUUCGGAGUAUCGACCCUCUGAGAGGCGAAGCUAACGCGUUAAGCGGACCGCCUGGGUAGUACGAUCGCAAGAUUAAAACUCAAAGGAAUAGACGGGGGCUUGCACAAGCGGUGGAGCGUGUGGCUUAAUUCGUCGCUAAGCGAAGAACCUUACCAGGGCUAGAAAUCCAGCUGCAUUCUUUGGGAAACCUUAGAAGCCUUCGAGGGUGCUGGACAGGUGAUGCAUGGCUGUUGUACGACGGCCCUUUCCGCCGCAAGGCGGAUUGAAACACUGGCUCAUAACGGUGAAGCCCAGUUUUGUAAGAGUUAUAUGCGUUAUAAUUACGCAGUGAACUCAAGAUUAAUGACUUGGUCUCCUUCCGGCACUAAUCGGAAGAACAUAGUGGGUGAUACCGUGGGAAGUUGGAGUACACAUUUCUGGAGAAAAUAUCCGCACCAUUGUUAUGCUUUUGGCUUAUGGUGCGCGGAUGGAUACCAUCGAACAAGCAGUAUCGGACUUACAAGCGUCAAUGCGCAGUUCAUCAAACGCUUUCGCGAAUUUCUCCUCGGAGAAUUUCCUGCCUCGCGGCUUCGGUUGCGGAUUUAUUAUCCGCAUGGCCAGCGACCAGAUGCAGAAACGUUUCGUGAAUACAGCGACAUUAUCGUCAUGUAUCCGAUGCGAAAAUGCAGGCAAAUCGCGAUGCAGUUAUAUGUGAAUAGCCGACCACUCUUGCGAAUGAUACAAAAAUCGCGCAGAGAGGUAUGGCGAAUGGCAGACAAAGAUGCAAUAGGCGCGUAUUUUGCAGGACGGUUUGAUGGAGACGGAUCAAUUGAUUCUGAUAAUCGCAAAUAUUGCCGUAUUGUUUACAGCAAUCAAAAAGAGGCAGAAUAUGACCGCAAAUUGAUUGCGAAAAUCGGCAUCCCAAAUGCGUCGGUCUAUGAUUACCGCGCGGCAGGCGAGUGGUGCUUGUAUAUCCCGCGAUCAAACUCAGAGAAAUUCAUUGAAUUAAUUAACCAGUUUCGUACUGGUUCCAGAAAUGUGUAUUCCAACCCCGUAGAGACUUCAUCGAAUUUGCUUUCGGCAAAUAGAUGAGAUGGGAGAAGCGCCGGCUUAAGCCGGAGAAACACUCUCAUAAAACGCCAGCUCCCGCGCUAAUUUUCAAAAAAUUAGAGCGGGGUGAAAGUAUAGUCCGUGCCACUAGUAAUAGUGGACUUGACACAGUCGUCAGUUCGUGGUUUGAAUCGUUCCCUUCAGUGGGGUAACGAACGCAACCCUCGUUGCCUGUUAUAAGUAUCAGGCGAGACUGCCCCCUCACGGGGGAGGAAGGUGAGGAUGACGCCAAGUCAGCAUGUCCCUCUGAUGCCCUGGGCUGCACACGCGCUACAAUCGCCAC
This 1718-nucleotide ribosomal RNA is filed under the name bacterium. RNAcentral's name for it is "bacterial SSU rRNA". It matches the Rfam family "Bacterial small subunit ribosomal RNA", at positions 477 to 1237 of the family's 1533-position model. The record is from RNAcentral.